Molecule: long non-coding RNA, 1436 nt
Organism: Oryzias melastigma (Indian medaka)
Lineage: Eukaryota; Metazoa; Chordata; Actinopteri; Beloniformes; Adrianichthyidae
Exons: 3
Source: RefSeq, a predicted model, not a curated record
GGUUUAAGCCAUACCAUAAAGGAAUAUAUUUUUAAGAGGUUGCUAAAAUGUGGGCAUCUAAGAGUGGACUAGAGAGGCAAACUAAUCGCUUCUCAUAUUAUUGCGUACAAACCUAAGAUCAAAUGUGGUGUGGUCUGAGUCUGACUAUACUGUGUAUCUCAUAGAGCUUACAGUUUCAAGGGUAACUGUGUGAAAGUGCAGAAGCUGAAGAGUGAGGCUUGAUUGCUGGGGUCCUCCCAGUAGAGGGCAGUUCUAGAGAUAUUGUGGCCAGGUCAGCUUAUUGGCUGCUAAAGUAAGUAAAAUAAAGGGAGGAGCCUAAAGCAAAUGAUUAAAGAAAAGACUGACACUGGAGCUGGUUGUAGUGGAAAAGAAAGAGUUCGGAGGAGUGAUAGAAUUCUCUCCUCAUCUCUUAGUUUUUCACAACUUGGAGGCUGGCAAUGCCAAAACAUGCCUGGUUUCUUUUAUUGAACACGUUUGUCUUCAUCUUUUUUAUAUUUUUCCAUCUUUUAUUGUUUAUUUUUAUCUACUAAUGCAAUUAUUUAUGCCUUAUUGGUCUCAUUUACAGCCUUGCCACCCCUGAACACACCUAAUCUCGGAAAAACAGCAGGACUGAGUCUGGAUUUUUCUUGGAUGGGAGUCUGCCUGGAACUACCUGGUGCUAGUCCACAAGCAUCUCAAGUGGACUCCAGCAACAGCCGGUACUCCUCUCCCUUCAGGAAGUCUGCCCACCUCACAGGAUCUUCAUGAAGUCUGAAGUACUGCAGCUGAAAGAGAAGUGCACGGUGGAAAGAUGCACACUGUGCUUUAGAGCAGACACCAGCAAUGCACAACUUUCAGUGCUGUGUAUGAUAGAAGAGUGUUACUUCCUGGACUGUUCCUGGCUGGGAUGAAGCUGUAAAUGUCUCUGCAUGUGUGUUUUAUUGGGAAAUAUGCUUGCCCUGGCUACAGUAAAAUAAUUAUGUUUCCUGCUCAGUGAUAAAUGUAGCUAGACUUUGAUUUACCUCCUGUAGCUGCCCUUAUUGUAUUCCCAACCUCUGUUCCCCAUACAGUAUAUCUCUCUUUCCCCUCUCUCUUUCUCUCACACACAAACACACACUCACAUAUAAAAUGUUGAAUUUCCCCAGAGAGCAAUUAUGGGGGAGUUCCACAGUAUGCAGUUGCGUUAUUAAUCUCCUCAUAGCAUUGCUGUGACAUAACAGCAGUGCCUGCGCUUAUUUACAGAACAAGUCCUGGUCAUUGAGUUUGACUGCAUCGAAUAAUUACACCAACAAAUAUGCUGACAUAUCAAGUCUUACAAGCUCAACAUGUGAGCUGGCUUGUUAGAGAGGUAAAGAAAAGGGAAGUGAGAGCUCUGGAGUGGUUUAUUCAGCUGUCACUGUAACUCACAUGUUGAAGCUGUGAUAUAGAGGUAUUUAAUAAAGGAACAUGGACAGGAG